RNAcentral lists this ribosomal RNA (1341 nucleotides) under metagenome. RNAcentral describes it as "bacterial LSU rRNA". It matches the Rfam family "Bacterial large subunit ribosomal RNA", at positions 1564 to 2910 of the family's 2925-position model. The record is from RNAcentral.
CGAGUCCGAGUCUCCACGGAGACGAAGUGGCGGUCAUCCAGCUUCCUAGAAAAGCUCUAACCACGUUAAUCUUUAGUUGCCUGUACCCGAAACCGACACAGGUAGGGGGGUAGAGAAUACCAAGGGGCGCGAGAUAACUCUCUCUAAGGAACUCGGCAAAAUGACCCCGUAACUUCGGGAGAAGGGGUACCACUGAGAAGUGGUCGCAGUGAAGAGGCCCAGGCGACUGUUUACCAAAAACACAGGUCUCCGCCAAGUCGCAAGACGAAGUAUGGGGGCUGACGCCUGCCCAGUGCCGGAAGGUUAAGGAAGUGGGUUAGGGAUUCGUCCCGAAGCUGACGACUGAAGCCCCGGUGAACGGCGGCCGUAAUUAUAACGGUCCUAAGGUAGCGAAAUUCCUUGUCGGGUAAGUUCCGACCCGCACGAAAGGCGUAACGAUCUGGGCGCUGUCUCGGAGAGAGGCUCGGCGAAAUAGGAUUGUCUGUGAAGAUACGGACUACCUGCACCUGGACAGAAAGACCCUAUGAAGCUUUACUGUAGCUUGGAAUUGGGUUCGGGCUUGGUUCGCGCAGGAUAGGUGGGAGGCGAAGAAGAUUUGCUUGUGGGUGAAUCUGAGCCAACGGUGAGAUACCACUCUAACCAGGCUAGAAUUCUAACUUCAACCCGUCAACCGGGGGAAGGACAGUUUCAGGUGGGCAGUUUGACUGGGGCGGUCGCCUCCUAAAAGAUAACGGAGGCGCACAAAGGUUCCCUCAGGCUGGUUGGAAAUCAGCCAACGAGUGCAAAGGCAGAAGGGAGCUUGACUGCGAGACCUACAAGUCAAGCAGGGUGGAAACACGGUCCUAGUGAUCCGACGGCACCGAGUGGAAGGGCCGUCGCUCAACGGAUAAAAGUUACUCUAGGAUAACAGGCUGAUCUCCCCCAAGAGUUCACAUCGACGGGGAGGUUUGGCACCUCGAUGUCGGCUCAUCGCAACCUGGGGCGGAAGUACGUCCCAAGGGUUGGGCUGUUCGCCCAUUAAAGCGGUACGUGAGCUGGGUUCAGAACGUCGUGAGACAGUUCGGUCCAUAUCCGGUGUAGGCGCAAGAACAUUGAGAGGAGUCUUCCUUAGUACGAGAGGACCGGGAAGAACGCACCGCUGGUGUACCUGUUAUCGUGCCAACGGUAAACGCAGGGUAGCCAAGUGCGGAGUGGAUAACCGCUGAAAGCAUCUAAGUGGGAAGCCCACCUCAAGAUGAGUGUUCUCAUGGAGUAAUCCAGUAAGGUCACGGGAAGACGACCCGUUGAUAGGCGGUAGGUGGAAGUUCAGCAAUGGAUGAAGCCGAGCCGUACUAACAGACC